UGGGGAAUAUUGCACAAUGGGCGCAAGCCUGAUGCAGCCAUGCCGCGUGUGUGAAGAAGGCCUUCGGGUUGUAAAGCACUUUCAGCGAGGAGGAAGGUGGUGAGCUUAAUACGCUCAUCAAUUGACGUUACUCGCAGAAGAAGCACCGGCUAACUCCGUGCCAGCAGCCGCGGUAAUACGGAGGGUGCAAGCGUUAAUCGGAAUUACUGGGCGUAAAGCGCACGCAGGCGGUUUGUUAAGUCAGAUGUGAAAAUCCCCGGGCUCAACCUGGGAACUGCAUUUGAAACUGGCAAGCUAGAGUCUCGUAGAGGGGGGUAGAAUUCCAGGUGUAGCGGUGAAAUGCGUAGAGAUCUGGAGGAAUACCGGUGGCGAAGGCGGCCCCCUGGACGAAGACUGACGCUCAGGUGCGAAAGCGUGGGGCAGCAAACAGGAUUAGAUACCCUGGUAGUCCACGCUGUAAAACGAUGUCGAUUUUGGAGGUUGUGCCCCUUGAGGCGUGGCUUCCGGAGCUAACGCGUUAAAUCGACCGCCUGGGGAGUACGGCCGCAAGGUUAAAACUUAAAGGAAUUGACGGGGUCUAGCUG
RNAcentral lists this ribosomal RNA (584 nucleotides) under uncultured bacterium. RNAcentral's name for it is "partial 16S ribosomal RNA". It matches the Rfam family "Bacterial small subunit ribosomal RNA", at positions 355 to 926 of the family's 1533-position model. The record is from RNAcentral.